AAAUGAGUUAUGGGUUGGGUCAA
Molecule: non-coding RNA, 23 nt
Filed under: Arabidopsis thaliana (thale cress)
Lineage: Eukaryota; Viridiplantae; Streptophyta; Magnoliopsida; Brassicales; Brassicaceae
Source: RNAcentral